UUAAUGACGUAAUUAUUUAAUAUUUUAAUAGUUUUUAAAGAUUUUACGAUUAUAUUUAAUUAUUUCUGAAAUUAGUUUUAAUAAAUUUCUUGCAUACGUAAAUUUAAAUGUUAAUUUAUAUAUAUAUAUCAAAAAUAUAGUUACGAUUUCUUAAAUAAAGAAGUUCGAAUCAAAAUGAUUAUUUUAUUAAAAUGUGUGAGCCCUCGAAGGUGAGUCUCUUAGUUGGGUCUCGUAAGAAAACAAAUCGAGAUGAAAAAUAAAUAAAUAAAUAAAUAAAUAUAAUAACAAUAAUAAUAAUAAUAAUAAUAAUAAUAAACAAUAAUGAUAAUAGCAACGAGUAUAAAAAGCCCAUGAAACCCUAAUCACUAAAGCUAGCCGUCUUUCCCCUUUUUCCUUCCUCCCUCUUCUCUUUCUUUCUCCCUUUCCCUUGCUGUGCCGCCAGCAGUCACGACCACCAGCAGCAGCGGCCGUUUCUUCUCGCACGCAGCAGCAGCCAGGGGCUGCGUUUCUUCUCGCACGCAGCAGCAGCCAGGGGCUGCGUUUCUUCUCGCAAACAGAAGCAGCCCAGCCGCCCACGAAAACACCACACCGGAGCCUCGCCUCACUCCCACGGCAGCCCAGCAGCAGGCGGCUGCAAGCACGCCCAGCAGCAGGCGGCUGAAACACGCCACAGCAGGCGGGGUCUCCUCUUUGGAUCCGUGCAGCCUUCCCCCUCCACCACCGUGUCUUGAGCCACGCCACCACCACAAGAACCACCAACCUCUUGACCCAUUUCCUAGUCUCACCCAUUGUGCCCAUUCUUAAGAGAAAGUAGAGCCUUAGUUGGGUGAUUUUGUGAUUCUUGAUCGUGCAGUGACGCUUACAGCAGGAGGAUUAUAGACUGGCUUAGCAGGUACUGGAGCUUCUUAUGUAUUGCAUUGCAUUUGGGAAGAGUGAUGAGCGCGAAGCAUAACUUGUGUCAUUACCCCUAUCUUUCGAUUUUGUAUCUCUUGUUAUCCUUUGUAAAUUUUGAUUGUAUAUGUUUUGUUAUGAGGCCUUGUGCCCUCUCACGUGCAUUUGUAUUUCCGCUGCGUAGUUUAUAACUCUGUAUGGUUUUGAGGAGUUAAGUCUUUUUAAAACGCAAACGUCGACACUGGAACCACGAUCCAUGCUUGGCAUGUUGAUUUGAGAAGCCGGCGACGAAUUAUUCCGCCGUGACAUAGCUUUGAUAGGCCAUUGGUGCCUUUACUUUAUUAGUUUUUGAAUUAACUUUUGUUUUCUACAAAGACGCACAAUUUUAAGGCAGAUGCUGCCAAAAUUUCCACUCACUCACCUUUUUAAGUUAAUAAUUAAAGUUUAUUUAAAAUUCUUUUCCUUUUUCUUUUAUGUAACACCCGAAUUUCCUCCCGUCCUUUACGGUUUUGGUUUCGUUAAGGGGCCGGAAAUUCUGGGGUGUUACAGGUGGUUACCAGAGCCAGUGGUCCCUAUUUUCGACGUUUUGUGUCUUCCAAUUUGUUGAGAAAUUUCUUGAAGUUAGAAGUUAUUCGUGAGAUUUGGGUAGACAUGGGAUAGGUGCAUAUAUUACAUAAUGCAUAAUGAUUGCCAUUGCACGUGCAUAGAUCAAUAUAUAGUUUGUUUAGCUUGUAAUGAGAUUCAUUUUCAUGUGUGUUAUUAUAAAUAAUAAUUAUGAUGUUGGUUGAAUGAUGACAUGAUUUAACAAAUCAGUAGAAUUGAAUGAUGUAUUAUCAAGAAAUAAUGAAAUUUUUGAGUAUUUGUUUCAACUCAUGAGUUGUAUUAUAAGUAGUCAUUAUGAAGAUGUGAAGUAUGAAUGAAGAAAUUCUAGAGAAGUUGGUUGCAUCGGGAACUUCCUCUUGCUCGUGAUGAUUAUAUGAAAUUUAGCCUUAUGUGUUUGAGUAUUUGUUCAUGUUAAUUGCUUUCAUAAAGCUUAGUAGUUUUGAUAUUAAUUCUAUACAUGAACCCACUAAUUAUUAUCUGCUUGAGCAUUUCCUUUGUUGGGUGCAUUCGUCCAUCAUAUCAUAACAUAGAAGGUGGUGAUCAUAAUUCUCUUGAAUAUGUUGAAUGACUGUGCAUGUAUGAGCAUAGGUAGUUUGAACUAGAAUAAGCAUAAGAGCUAAAGGGUAAUAAGAAUUUGAUGUAUUGUAAAUGAAAGAAAAGGGUCUUGUAUGCGAUACCUUGUAAAUAAAUUUUUAAUCACCAGUUGAUGAUAAUAAUGCGGUCAUAGCUAAAGUAUAGAUGCGUUAAAACCUACAUAUUAAUAUAAGCAGAAGUUCGAGAGCACGUUAAGAGUUUAUAGUUUGAGAAUUCAAUCCUCAAUUUCGAACCAUGAUCUAUAAGAGUAUUAUUGAUAUAUUCUUUAUAUAGUGCUGAGUUGAAGUUAAGAGAUUGUUUUCAACGCCGCUAAGUGUUUAAAGAUAAUGCUAUAUUAGCUGAACCAAAUUAUCACGUUAGUAUUGUUGUUCAUACUAGAAUCGCUUUAAUAUUUCUAUUUGAAGUUAUAAUUCUUACUAGAUUGAGGCUCUCGACCUUUGUAACUAGCUAUAGUAACAUUGGUGUUGAGUUUUAGUGUGGCAUAAAUGUGUCUACCAAUAAACGUUUUUAGUCUCAUACAGUGAUUGAGACUGAUGCUUUAAAUUGGUUUAUGUAACAUAUAUUCGUUAGUUCUAAACCCAACAUAUUAUGCUUGUAGUGAGACCUUGAGAAUCAGUUGAGAGUGAAAACGAUAGUCAACCUAUCAGUCUUAGUAAACACUUUAUAUAUAUUUUGAUGAAUUAUAUACUAUAAAGGUCCUCUGUCAUUGAUUUUAAUUUUUGUAAGCAUUCAACUCUCAUCAUAAUGAAUAUAAUAUUUCAUGUUUGUCGAAGGCUAACAACCUUUAAAUCUCUAUUUAAAGGGAUUCCUUGGAUAAAAUAAGGGUGAUUUUUUUUUUUUUUUUUUGAAGACAUAUGAGUUUGAGUAUCAAAGGAGAAAAUUAUUGUUCGCAAGUCCUUUGAGUUCUGUAUUUCGUUGAGACAUGAUAUAUCAUUCAUACAUAAGUCGAUAACUUCAUAUUAAAGUGGAUAGUUAAAGAAUAAUCAUCGUAAACAAAUUUUCAUGUUAAGGGCCUAAGGAUUGAUUCAAGGGAGCACUAUUGAGUUAAGACAUUUUGUCUUAUUAAAUGCUUAUAUAGAGUAAUGAAUAUUUUAAUCAGAUGAUAAUGUGAAGAAGAACCGUGACGGUUUUAAAGCGUUAACUGGAUAAAAUGAUAUUUGAAAUUAAAAAGGAAUCAGUGAUAUUAUAAUUUGUUUUCCUCAUGGCCUUCGGGGCUAUUACAAGACAUAAGAAUAAAAUAACCUGAUGAUGAGGUGGAAUAAGCGUCCUUGUGCACGUAAGAUAUAGUUAAAUGUUUGAAGUCUUUUAGAAUUUCUCAUUGAUCGCCAAUUUAAUAGCCAGUGUAUUGAAAUGAUAAGACCUAGAUGAGAUUCUAAAUGAAGCUGACUUUACGCAAGUUAUUGUUUAAUAAUGAUUGAUGUGAUAAGUUGGAGAGUUACUAAAGAUAAUGUGGUCCUAAUAAAAGUCAAGAGGUGUUUUAAACCUAAACAUUGAAGAAACGACAACGAAUAUGCGAAUAAUUAUAAUUUGAGAGAUGAAUCGAGAUAAUGGGUUAUGUCUUAAAACGAUUAUUAUACGCAAUCAUUAUUAUGCGAUAAAGAGAGUUAAAUAAUAUUCGCACUUGUGUUAAGAAGAGUUUUAAUUUGAUGGUACUAAAUCAUUGGAUCGUAAUAAACAUUUGAUGAAAAGAGUGUUGAAACUUUGACGUGUUUUAAUACAAACGAUUAUGUUAUAGUUGUUAGUUCUAAGUUUCGCGUUUUACGUUGAAGGGUGAUUGAAUUCCACUUGUUUGCGAAGGAAUAAUUGUAAUGCAAAAUUUCAAAUGUUGCGUUAAUUGGUUGGAUUGUGUCGUGGUACUUUAGUAUAGUGUUAGAAUUAUUAAUGUAGUAGUCAUAUGGUUGCGAUAACGGUCUUAUAGUUAGAGGUAGUAUUGUGAUGAAAAUGUUAUGAUGUAGGUUGGACAUCGUGAAAUUAGCGUUGGUAUCACAACCUUAUCAAAUUGUAUGAUACAUGACUGUUUUGCUAUUCAUAUUGGAAUUUGCGGUGAUGUAGGUGUGCUCAUCGGUUAUUUUUUUUUCAUCUUGCAUUUUUUUUUAUGUAUACAUAAGAUGUCAUCUUUGUUGAGCAUCGCUACUAUUAUUACCCUGUUAGUACCAUUAGCACCGUCGUUAUAUACGUACAUGAUGCAUUACUUUAGUCAUAUAUAAGUUCAUGAUCUUAAUUGAUAUAAAUUCUAUACUUUCAACAUAUGUAUGGUAAGAGAAUAGCUGAAAAAUAUUGGUAACCUUUGGCAUUGCCCUUCAUAAUUCUAAGUCAUCCUCACAUUGUCAUAAUUAGAAUUUGAAAUUUUGAUGCAUAAUGGUUUUAUUAUUGAACAACUAUGAUAUGUGUAUUAGUAUCGUGGCUGUGAAUGUAUGAUUAUUAACUACAGUCUCUUGCUAAUAUGUGUCAUAUAUAAUUGGAUUAUAUACUUGAAACAUGUAUGAUGUUAUGAGUUAUUAAUUCGAAUUGUUAAUCUAUUAAUCAAGUCUUGAUGCAUGAUUUAGAAUGUUAUAAAAUGAUUUGACCAUAUAUGAUUAAUGAAAAGAGGAUUUCAUGUUAAGUAAAGGGCUAGGAUUAUGUUAUGAUAAGUAAAAUAAGCAGUGAAUCGAUUUGGGAGUUGAUAACCUACCAGUCUGGUAAGAUUCAAGUAUCCUCAGGUCUAGGGUGUCUAAUUAUAAUACGAGUUAAGUGUUGAGCAACUUCGUGCACUUUACUUUUAGGACUUUGUUGUUUUGAUAUUUUACCCCCAUUCAUGAAUCAAAUUAUAAUAGUUAAACCUUCUGUACAUUACAAGAUUAUCACAAAGUCGACCUUAGAUGGUCACGUAGAAUUGAAAAAGUCGUUUGAAGAAUUACAUUAGAUAACAGGACGUUUCGUGUUGUUACGAACUCAAGUGAUAUAUUUUUUUUAAAAGCCACAUCUGCUAGAUCUGUUAUUUUUGUAAACAUUAAGAAGAGUUGUCUUACUAAUAGAACAUAUUGAGACCCAAAUACUAGGAUAUGUAGUAUUGAGAUCGAAGAUAUGAAAUAACUAAAGUUCCAUGGUCUAACCACUCUAUCCUUGCACAUGUUUCGAGGUUAGUGAGUUACGGGGUCGUAACUAAGUUUUAAGGGGGGUAGAACGCGAUAGAAUUUCGCGCGUUUACACGCGUUUUCUCCUGCGUUUCCACGCAUUUUUGUCUCUAUGAUAACAACCUAUUACAAACUUAUAUGCUUUGGAUUGAUUGUUUGAACCUAUCUAUGUGAUAUGUACACGCUUUGAUGAUUGUGUGAAUCAAUCGGUGUGAUAUUUACAUGCUUUUGAUUGAUUGUGUUAGGUUAAUUGUGUGACAUUUACAUGUUUUGAUUGGGUGUUGAGUUAAUUUAAAUGAUUAUGAAUGGUCGAAACGAAAUAUGCAUGAAUAUUUGAAUAGAGUGUGUAUAAUAGUGUCAAUAAGGUCACGAUCUUUGAGUUAAUUCCUUAGGCUUAAAAUCGUUAAGACGCCUCCUUGAGCUAUUAGAAAUAUAAAUUUUCACAAUUUGGCACUUGGUUGCGCUAGUUUCGGGGACGAAACUCCUUUUAAGGGAGGUAGUCUGUAACACCCUGAGAUUUUAAUGACGUAAUUAUUUAAUAUUUUAAUAGUUUUUAAAGAUUUUACGAUUAUAUUUAAUUAUUUCUGAAAUUAGUUUUAAUAAAUUUCUUGCAUACGUAAAUUUAAAUGUUAAUUUAUAUAUAUAUAUCAAAAAUAUAGUUACGAUUUCUUAAAUAAAGAAGUUCGAAUCAAAAUGAUUAUUUUAUUAAAAUGUGUGAGCCCUCGAAGGUGAGUCUCUUAGUUGGGUCUCGUAAGAAAACAAAUCGAGAUGAAAAAUAAAUAAAUAAAUAAAUAAAUAUAAUAACAAUAAUAAUAAUAAUAAUAAUAAUAAUAAACAAUAAUGAUAAUAGCAACGAGUAUAAAAAGCCCAUGAAACCCUAAUCACUAAAGCUAGCCGUCUUUCCCCUUUUUCCUUCCUCCCUCUUCUCUUUCUUUCUCCCUUUCCCUUGCUGUGCCGCCAGCAGUCACGACCACCAGCAGCAGCGGCCGUUUCUUCUCGCACGCAGCAGCAGCCAGGGGCUGCGUUUCUUCUCGCACGCAGCAGCAGCCAGGGGCUGCGUUUCUUCUCGCAAACAGAAGCAGCCCAGCCGCCCACGAAAACACCACACCGGAGCCUCGCCUCACUCCCACGGCAGCCCAGCAGCAGGCGGCUGCAAGCACGCCCAGCAGCAGGCGGCUGAAACACGCCACAGCAGGCGGGGUCUCCUCUUUGGAUCCGUGCAGCCUUCCCCCUCCACCACCGUGUCUUGAGCCACGCCACCACCACAAGAACCACCAACCUCUUGACCCAUUUCCUAGUCUCACCCAUUGUGCCCAUUCUUAAGAGAAAGUAGAGCCUUAGUUGGGUGAUUUUGUGAUUCUUGAUCGUGCAGUGACGCUUACAGCAGGAGGAUUAUAGACUGGCUUAGCAGGUACUGGAGCUUCUUAUGUAUUGCAUUGCAUUUGGGAAGAGUGAUGAGCGCGAAGCAUAACUUGUGUCAUUACCCCUAUCUUUCGAUUUUGUAUCUCUUGUUAUCCUUUGUAAAUUUUGAUUGUAUAUGUUUUGUUAUGAGGCCUUGUGCCCUCUCACGUGCAUUUGUAUUUCCGCUGCGUAGUUUAUAACUCUGUAUGGUUUUGAGGAGUUAAGUCUUUUUAAAACGCAAACGUCGACACUGGAACCACGAUCCAUGCUUGGCAUGUUGAUUUGAGAAGCCGGCGACGAAUUAUUCCGCCGUGACAUAGCUUUGAUAGGCCAUUGGUGCCUUUACUUUAUUAGUUUUUGAAUUAACUUUUGUUUUCUACAAAGACGCACAAUUUUAAGGCAGAUGCUGCCAAAAUUUCCACUCACUCACCUUUUUAAGUUAAUAAUUAAAGUUUAUUUAAAAUUCUUUUCCUUUUUCUUUUAUGUAACACCCGAAUUUCCUCCCGUCCUUUACGGUUUUGGUUUCGUUAAGGGGCCGGAAAUUCUGGGGUGUUACACCAAGUCAGCCAUGGUGUUGAACAAUUGUUGUGAGUCAUUUAAUUCGGUUUCGAGGGAGUGUAGAAACAAACCUAUAUUGAGCAUGAUGGAGUGGAUAAGAAGAUAUGUCAUGGCAAGGGCUUUCAACAAAAGGGAAGGCCAAUGAGUGAUGGUGUUCCAAAACAAGCCAUAAAGAAGAAAAGGGGAAAAAUGAGCCAAAGUCAAGAAGAAAUCAACAACAACUCCUCACAACCAGUAGAUUCAUCUCAAACAUCUCACACUUGAAUUUAGUAGCUCUGAAGUUUGUUUGUUAAACAUUAUUACUUUUUAUUGCUUAGUCAAUGACUUUAUAUGUAUUUUCAUGUUAUGGAUGACAUUAUGCAUUAUGAGAAUUGGUUGAAUGCUUAACAAA
This is a long non-coding RNA of Amaranthus tricolor (Joseph's coat), 7551 nucleotides long. RefSeq lists it as uncharacterized. The record is from RefSeq and is a predicted model, not a curated record. NCBI's taxonomy places the organism in Eukaryota, Viridiplantae, Streptophyta, Magnoliopsida, Caryophyllales, Amaranthaceae. The transcript is spliced from 5 exons.